UGGGGAAUAUUGCGCAAUGGGCGAAAGCCUGACGCAGCAACGCCGCGUGCGGGAUGACGGCCUUCGGGUUGUAAACCGCUUUCAGCAGGGACGAAACUGACGGUACCUGCAGAAGAAGCACCGGCUAACUACGUGCCAGCAGCCGCGGUGAUACGUAGGGUGCGAGCGUUGUCCGGAAUUAUUGGGCGUAAAGAGCUCGUAGGCGGUCUGUCACGUCGGAAGUGAAAACUCGGGGCUUAACCCCGAGCCUGCUUUCGAUACGGGCAGACUUGAGGAAUGUAGGGGAGAACGGAAUUCCUGGUGGAGCGGUGGAAUGCGCAGAUAUCAGGAGGAACACCAGUGGCGAAGGCGGUUCUCUGGACAUUAACUGACGCUGAGGAGCGAAAGCGUGGGGAGCAAACA
RNAcentral lists this ribosomal RNA (402 nucleotides) under uncultured bacterium. Its description in RNAcentral is "bacterial SSU rRNA". It matches the Rfam family "Bacterial small subunit ribosomal RNA", at positions 355 to 774 of the family's 1533-position model. The record is from RNAcentral.